UCGUAAAGCAACAAAAAAAUUGGAGUUAUCCAACGUAUCUAUACAAUAUUUGCUAAUUCUACUAAGAGAUGGAAAAUUAUCAAAGAUAACAUACUAGGAUUGACUCUCAAGUCAUUAUCAUCUACUCGUUGGGAGAGUUGUGUUGAUAGUGUUCAGGCUAUAAGGUUUCAGCUAUCAGAAAUAAGGGAGGCCUUACUACAAGUGGCUGAAAGUGAUAAGGAUUCUUCGACACAAAGUGAAGCUCAAUCAUUGGGGAAGAAUGAACUUGGUGGCUUUGAUUUUUUAGUAUGA
RNAcentral lists this ribosomal RNA (291 nucleotides) under Triticum aestivum (bread wheat). RNAcentral's name for it is "partial small subunit ribosomal RNA". Lineage: Eukaryota; Viridiplantae; Streptophyta; Magnoliopsida; Poales; Poaceae. The record is from RNAcentral.